Felis catus (domestic cat) is the source of this 12274-nucleotide long non-coding RNA. RefSeq lists it as uncharacterized. The transcript has 17 exons. Lineage: Eukaryota; Metazoa; Chordata; Mammalia; Carnivora; Felidae. The record is from RefSeq and is a predicted model, not a curated record.
AAAAAGAAAAAAAGAAAAAAAAAUAAAAAAAAAAUCAAAAAGUGUUCAUGAAGAGGUUGAGUAUAUCUAUUGGUGUGCCUAUUUUGGACACAGAAUUUUCAGCUAUGGUUUAUUAACCAAGCCAUAACUAGUUGAAAUAGUUUUCCUUUUUACAAAUUAAAAAUCACCUCUCCCACUGGUUCAUUAAUGAUGGGCAGAUAGUUGACAGAAUAACAACUGUUAAAAUGUUCCAGUGCCUUUCACUCCACUGAGAAAUACCAUAAUGAAAAAUUCUUAACUAUAUAUUCAUAUAUAGUAGUAGUCAACAAUUUUUUUUUCUGUAUAUAUCUCUCUAUGAGGCACCAUGCUAGGCACUAGUGGGAUAAGUAUAAGGCAUAAUCCUUUUACUCAAAGUAUUAAGAGUAAAAUGGGGAAAAUCAGUCCUAGGAUUGUCACCUGUUAGAAUAAAUAUGGUAGAGGUAUGUAUAAAGGCCUGUGACACUACAGGCUAAUAGCCUCUCUGGCUACCAGGAAAAGCUUCAUAGAGGGAAUCUGGAAGGCUGUUUGGCAGGAGGAGAAAGAAAGGCAUUCCAAAGAGAGGUAACAUAAACAUGAGUGGUAUUUUCAUGUAAUGGUAUGAAGCUAAGGGUACCAUGAACUUACUAUAGGGGAAGGAAGUUGUGGAAGAUAAAGUUGUACAGACAGGUUGGAAGGAAUUUGGACUUUAUGAUGAAGGCAAUGUAAAGUGUGCCCAUUGUUGCAAGAAAGUGAGGACAUCUCUCUGUCUCUAGGAAAAAGAAUUCUCUCUCAUCUAGACUCCUGGAAAUAGUGUGCUAAGAGAAUACUCAGCAUACAGGGAUUUGAGUAAGAGGGUUUCUAAGGCCUAUUUUUCUAUUCAUCUCCCCAUCCAUUAAACACAUAUAUAGAAGUUAAUUCUGUUUCAGGUAAAGUACUGAACACUGAAGACAUAGUGGCGAAGGACACACUUGGUUCCUUACAUUCUAGCGGAGCUUGGAGAAGGAGACAAAGAAUGUACAAGUACCUAUAUAAGUAAACAGGAUAAUUUCCGGUUAUUGUAAAUACUAGAAGGAAGAUAAAUAGGGUGAUAGAACAGACAGUAACUGGGGCGAGGGUUACUUUAGAAAGUCUGAUCAGGGAAAAGAUUCUCUGAGGAUUGAUAUUUGAGCUGGAGUGUCAAGGAUGAGAAGGAAGCACAUAUGUGCAGAAUCUAUGGAAGAGCUCUCCUGAAAAGGGGACUAGCAAGUGUAUAGAAAGGCCCUGAGGUGAGAAAUCGUGUGAGGUGUUCUACAAACCAAGGAGACAGCAUGUCUGCAGCAUAACGAGCAAGAGGAGAGAUGGGUCCAGAGUAAAGAUGAAGGCAGGCAGGGGCAAGACCAUGUUGAAAGAGCAUUGUGGGCCAUAGUAAGCAGUAUGUCCUUGAUUCUAAAAGUUGGCAUUUAAGGAUUUAAAGCUACUGAGUAUUGUGAUCAGAUGUAUACUUUCUCAAAAUCACACUGAUGUUGAAGAGUGGACUGGAGGCAGGUAGAGUAAAGAAUGGUAAGAUACGGGCCUACAGAUUUAGUUCUGGCAAAAGAUUGGUAAUGGCUUGGGCUUUGGUGUGACAAUAGAGGUGGAGAGAAAUGGAUGUGUUCUAUAUAUUUUCAAUACAGAGCUGUUAGGACUUGUCUUGCUUGUUGUGGGGCAUAAGAGAAAGGGAGGGAUCCUCAGUUUUUUAUUUGAGCAACUUUGAUGGUACUAUAGUUUUUGACAUGGGGAGACCUCAUAGCGUCCAGUUUGUUGGAGUGGAGUAAUGGUGAAUAUUAUUAAUGCUGUUUUGGAUGCCGUAAUUUUGAGAUCUUUAUUAGAUAUGUAAGGUUCAAAUGGACAGUGGGUAUGCCUCAAGGGAGAGGUCAGAGGUGGAGGUAUAAAUCUGGAAGUCAUCAGCAUUUACUUAAAGCCGUCAGAUUUGAUGAAAACAUAUAGGGAGAGAACACACAUGUAAAGGGAAGAGAAGGCAGGCCCAUGCUCAUUGUUAAGUAGAUAGCAAAGGAGGGGAAUUGUAAAUUGAAUUCUGUGCCCCCCAAUUCAUGUAUUGAAAUCUUAACCCUCAGUACCUCAAAAUGUGACCUUAUUUGGAAUUACGGUCAUUGCAGAUAAGAUGAGGCUAUGCUGGAAUAGGAUACCUAAUUCAAUAUGACUGGUGUCCUUAUAAAAAGAGGAAAGUCCAUGUGAAGACUGUACUUAACUACCACAAGCCAAAGAAUUUACUGGAAGCUAGGAGAGAGCCUUCCCUAGAGCCUUCAGAGGGAGCACAGCCCUGCCGGCAGCUUGGUUUCAGGCUUCUGGCCUCCAGAGCUCUGAAAUGAGAAGCUUCUGUUAAGCCACUCAGUUUGUGGUGUUUUGUGAUGGCAGCCCUAGAAAACACAUAGAAGACUAAUUAAAAAUGACAAGAAAUAAAAGGAAGACCACCACAGUGUGGUGUCAUGAUGGCCAAGGAAAGCAUGUGUUGCAGGAAGAAAGGAGUGGCCAUUUUUAUUGAGAGAUUUUGUUGUUUUAUUGUUUUUUUUUGUUUGUUUUAUUGUUUUUAUUGUUGAGAGAUUAAAUGAGAGAAGGAGAGAGAAAGGGCCGUUGGAUUAGAUUUUGCAGUAUAUUUGGGGAUUCUUGCUCUUCCCAUUUCUUGUGCUUGAGAUAUUCCAUAUCUAUCUCUUGAUGAUGAUUUUGGUUAUAUUCAGCUGCUAGACGGCAGUGGGUAUGCCACCAGAAAGAGUGAGCUGGUAGCUUUUCCUCUGGUUAGAACGUUUCCUGUCUCUCCUAGGAGUUGGAAGAUGCCGUGGCAGUAUCCUGUGCCUUCCUUCUUUGCGUCCGUAGCCACUGCUUUAUUCUGCAGAAAAAGGUGCUUGCUGCCUACUCCCCCAUGGCAUAAGAGUGUCAGUAGCUGAGUUGACCAUCCAGUUGCUCCGAACUCAGUUCUCCAUUUACUCUACCAUUCACUACCCACUGCUUGCUAUUCUGAGUUUGGACUUCCCCCAGAACCACUCCCCUUCAUAGCCGAUCCCCUCCUGCACAUGUAGGAGUAAGCUCUUCUCCUUCUGUUCAGAAGAUCCAUUGUGUACCUUUUCUUGAUUUUCAUCAAUAUUGAAUAUUUAUUAUUUAACAGCAUCUUUUCUUGGGUCAUUUCCAAGAAUUUGGACUAGGAGCAGAAAUAGGCACUGGCAUACGGUCUGACAUCAUGUCAGUGCUCUGAUAUAUUCCUUUUGUUGUGGAUUAAUAUUGAUUCCAUCAUCAUGCCAUGUUUGUGCUCAUGAAGCACAUAUAUCUUUUGGCUGCCAGGGUCUAAUCAGAGCUCACUGGCAAAGCUCCUUAGACAUUUCUUCUGAGCUAUGCUCUUUGAAUCAAUACCACGAGUGGUAGUUCCCAAUAAAUGUAGCCUUUAUUGACUUAACAAAUAAUUUGUUAAUUAUUUACUGCGCACAUAUCACAGUUGGUGAUAUAGAGAAAUAUAAUGUGUGGUCUCCAUUCUCAAUGAGUGUACUUGGGAAAAAGAGGCAUUCGCACGAAGGAUGCUAAAUAACAAUUCAUGAAUUAAGCAACAUGAAGACUUCAUUGACCAGGGCUAGAAAUCUAGCUUACAUUGUAUUAAGUAAAAAAAAAAAAAAAAGCGUAUCCCUUGUAUUCUAGUGUUUAGAGCAGUGCCAGGUACACAAUAGGCCUUCUGUAAAUAUUUGUUGAAUGAAUGAAUGAGGGGAAUUUAUUGUCUCACAUAAUUGAAAUGUCCAGGUGAUGUUGAGGUUUAGGUGUAGCUGUAUCCUAUCAUGUCCUUAGGCGUCUGAUUCUCUCCUUUUUUUUUUUUUGGCUCUUCUUUUUUCUGAAUUGGCCUAAGUUUUAGGAAGUUUGUCUCCAUCCUAUGGUGGUUGCUGGUCUUUUGAAAGAGAGAUUCCUCCCUCCCCCUUUCUCAGUAGUUUCAGCAAAAAUCCUGGAGCUGAAACUCAUAGCGUUGAUUUGGGUCAUGUGCCCAGCCCUGAACCAAUCGUGACCAGGGGAUGGAAUACUCGAUGCAUCAGGCCUAGUCACAUGUGCACUCCUGGAGCUGAGCCUUUUGAGCCACAUGGACCAAGAGUUUGGAAGGGCUUUUUUUCCUCCAAAGAAAAAUUGGGCCCAGUAUAAGAGAUGUCAUAAGGCAAUAGAUAAUUCCACAUGAUUGUAUCAGGAAGUGAGUAUCAGCUCAGAGGCUUUGGAAGGGGUCAAAGCAAACCUCAAGGAGGAGACUGAAAUUCAUUUAUGCUUGAGAAGUGAGCAGGAAUUGACUUGAUAAGGAAAAGGAAUUCUAGAGGGAGGAAGUGAAGAAAUAGACAUGAUGACCUAAUUAACCACCAUCAGUAAUUUCAAAAACCGAGACGAACUCCAGCAACAGGGGACAAGAAAACAGGCAUGAAAUAAGCUCAAAUAAAAUGGAUGGAUCAAGUUAAUAAAAAUAAAAGCAGAAAUAAAUGAAACAAACAAACAAGGAACAAUAGUUGAGAUGAUCAAUAAAACCCAAAGCUGGAGGUUCUGAAAGAAUGAUAUGCACAUACCAACUUCCUGCACGUAUGAUGAAGGCAAAGAGAGAAGACACAACGUGGUAUGAUGCAGGACGAGAGGGCACGGACACAGAGGAGAUUCUUAAAAUUAGGAGACUUCUUCGUGCAGCAUCCUAGCUGAAGUCAGAGGGUGAGAAUUGUGCCUUCUCCCCAGCACCCCAAGCCGUUUUCCUCCUGCCCAAGGCUUGCAUUCAGAGGCAGCACAGCGUCAUGAUGAAGAACGCAUCUAGAACCGGAAAGCCUGGCUUUGAACCUGGGUUGUCCUUUACUGUCUGGAGUGAGCUUGAAAACCCAACACCAACCAGCUGAAACAUCAAGUACAAAGAUCAAAACAACAAACAAAGGACACGUAAUGACUUCUGUAACGGCAACAUUCGAUGGAUUAUCUCACAUCAGGAAUGGCUGGAUCCAGGUGUCCAAACGAUCCAGGUUGUCUGAGUGUAUCAGCUCUCUCUCACUUCAAGCUUGAGAGGAGGGUCCUGGGCGCCAGCGGAAGCCUUCAGGCAGAGAACAAGAGAAGCAGGUGCCUGAGCUGGGAACAGCCUGGCACCGCCGUAGCCGAACUCAGGUGGGCGCGGCGUCCGCAGCUUCUGCUACACUCGGGAUGAACACGAGGCGGGGCCCCCGGCGGCUUACAAUCCCCGGUAGGAUAACCAUUCCAGAGAACGCUUCUUUUUCAGGAAUUUCAGGCCCAGCCUUCUGAUUGGGCAGGCUCGUGUCACAUGACCACCCGUGAGCCAAUCACUGUGCCUGCGGAAACGGAGUGUCUAGUCACCCUGGAAGGUACCACCCGGCCACGUCGCUGCCUCUCACGUAACAAGAAUUGCGCCGGCGUGCCUCCCUGCAAGAUGGGGGGGGUGGGGGGGGGGCUCUGACCCCCCCCCCCACCGCCACCGGCUGACGGCUUGGAAGAUGGAGGAAGAUUCUAGAUGGCAACACUACCCGUAUCCACUGAGGAGACAUCCUGCCCCUACGGAGUGGGUCUCCAGCUUUGCUUCCCCCAGAUGUACACAAUUUGCUACGUGCUGGCAACGAAAGGUGCGAGCUGACGAAUAUGGAAGCUGAUGGCACAUGAUUUUCCCAGGCACCGAGAACUUCCGUUUAAAGAGACCAGGCUUGGUGUGCAAGAUACCCGUAUGCCGACUAGUGGGGUGCUGUCCCGGUUGGGGCCGUGGCACGGAGUAGGUGUUGGGCGCACACACUGAGACGGGAAAUAUUUUCGGAGCCAGAGUCCAAAUUUGGAAGGACCAACAGGAGCCUCUGCAGGCCGCCAGGGAAGGAUUCAUGAGUCAAAGGAGAAGAAGCCGGUGGACUCUUUGUAUUUGAACAAGUCGCUUAAGCUGUCUGAUCUUCAGUUUCCUUCAUCUUGAAAAAUCGGAAAGUGGCAUCUACUUGGUGGGUUUUGAGGACUUGCCCAAGGUCAUACAGCCAAGAAGAUGAGCCAGUACAUCCCCACGGUGUUUUCGAGCUGAGAAUUCAAGCCAGGACCUACCUUGCUCACAAAAAGGACAGAUUUCAAGGUGAGCUGUGCCAUCUGGGGCAUUUCGAAAUGUACACGUUGAACCUGUGAGCGAGAGUCUGUGUGUGGCUGAGAGAGAAAUCUUUGAGGGAGACUUCGGAGAAUGAUAUGCUUGACCCAGCAGCAAUUCUAUGCAAGCAGCUGCUCUUCUCUGAGUCGCUGGGUGCGAGUUGAGAGCACCAGCUUCGGAAUGGGACAGGAUUGCCCGCAUGGUGAUCUGGACUCUUUUAUUCGUGUCCUCUGUGACCUUGAAGGAGCAUUUUGAGGGAGCUCCUUGGCUACGGAGGCCCAUUCUCGACACCGGAAGACACGCCCAAGGGGGCACGGUGUUGAGGAUGUAUAAUGUUGUGUACGGGAGCACUCACUGUACCGAGGGCUUACAGUCGCACAGGGGAAAUGAGGUACGCAGGCUGAUAAAUACGAUGCGAGGUGACGUGCCCUAAAGGUGGUGAAACCUUACGGCUAGAUCGUCAAGGUUGCGCGGAGGGAAUGGAGGAAAGAAUCUUGGAACCAUAGCGCCCAGCUCCCUUGCCAUGCAGGUGACGACGCGGACAGGACCACGGUUUCUAGCUCCGACCCAACUCCCCCUGUCUGCUCUCCACUGCGUUACCUCUCACGCCCAUUCCGGCUCAAAGUGGCAGUUUUAUUCUAGUUUGGAGGCCGUGGUGAAGUCCUCACGCCUGCCCGCGGUGACAGAACAAAGCCUCGUCUCAUUUCCUCUGUGCAGUAGCCAAUUAAGGACAGAGAGUGCUUUAGGGUGUAUGUCCUCAUUCAUUCACUUGACAAAUAUCUAGUGGUGGCAAGUGGUAGAGAUAAAGAGAGGACUAAGACUCCGAGUGAGGGCAGAGAAAGAUCACAUACAAGGUACAGGGGAUUUCCAGCAUCCUUUCCAAGCUAGUUGCUGCAUCAAGGGAAGAGCACGUGUUGGCAAGCGACGACGUUAGAGAAGUAGGCGGAGGCCACAUCGUGGAGGACUUUGCGGGCUUGAGUUGGGUUCCACAGAAGCAAUCCCUGAGACCGGGAUUCAGAUGCCAGUGAUUCCUUUAAGAAGUGCUCCUUAUAGAAGCAGCAAUGGAAAAGGAAGCACGUGAAGGAGGAGGAGGAGGAAGAGGAGGGACAGGAGGCGAGGAGGAGGAGGGAGAGGGAGGAGAAGACUUCCCAAUGGAAAACAGCAUUUGCAAACCAUGUAUCUGAUAAAAGAGGUUCAUAUCCAAAGGAUACUUUUUAAAAGACUCCUAUAACUCAACAGCAAAACAAACACAAAGCGUCUACUUUUAAAAUAAGCCAAAGAGCUGAAUAGACGUCCGUCGAAGGAAGGUAUAUGAAUGGCCAACGUGUGCUUGAAAAGAUGCUCAACAUCACCCAUAUUAGAGAAAUGCAGAUCAGAAGCACAGUGAGCUAUUGCAUGCCUGCUGCAAUGGCCAUCAUCACAAAGUCAAGAGAUACCCAAUGCUGGUGAGGAUGUGGAGAAGAGGCAACACCGUGCACCACGGGUGGGAAUGGAAGCUGGUCCAGCCACGACGGGAAACAGGAUGGAGGGUCCUCCGAAGGUUACAAAUGCACCUACCGCAUGAACCAGCAAUGCCAUUUUUGGGUCUAUAGCCAAAGGAGUUGAAAACGGGAUCUCGAAGAGAGAUUUGCACCCCGUGUUCAUUGCAGCAUGACUUUCAGUAGCUGAGACAGAGUAGCAACGUGAGUGUCCAUCGACAGAGGAAUGAAUGAAGAAGAUGUGCUCUCUCCUCUUGGAUCAUUUGCUUUGGGAAAAGACAGCUGCUACGUCGUGUGAGCAGCCCUAUAGAGAGGCCCAUCUGGCAAGAAACUGAAGCCUCCUGCCAACAGCCAUGUGAGUGAUCUUGGAAGCAGACCCUCCGUCCCCAUCAGACGACUGCAGCCCCUGCUGACAACCCGCCUGCAGCCAGACAAGAUUAGGUCUCAUUAAUCACUGUGGUGCCACCGUCCAUGACAGUGCUGAGCACAUCGUAGGUAUCAGUAAAUGGUUGCUUGAAGAAGGAAUGAAUGAAUUACAAAUGGACCUCUCCGUGUCUCUUCAAUGAGGUAAGACCUGGACAAUAAUAUGGGGGUCUUAGUAGAAGCUCAUAGAACACUAAUGUUCAUUUCCUCCUGCCCCAUUAAGCAGAACAGGUGAUCUCCACCUGCACACCUAGCCCUCUCUUGCUGUCCCUUUUCUCAGACCUUCCUUUAACUGUUGAAGUUUUCUCACUAUUCACCUCCUUCGGCUUGCCCAUGCAACUCCAGCUACACACUGACAUCAUCCAAGGACCUUUCAAAGGGGUCAUGACUGGAUUUCAUCCACAGGGAUUUUAAUGUAACUGAUCUGGGGGAAGCCUGGGCAUGGGAAUGAUUCGGAUGUGCAGCCAAGGUUGAGACCUUGUGUUCCGGGCCUGAAGUUGGUACUUCUUUCUGGUUCCACAUAAUAAAGCUGCUGACAAGAGGUGAUCCUCACUUUUUCAAUACCUCUGUAGGCUCCAGGUUGGUCAAGUGCCAAGGUCUCCAUGCACACAGGGAAUCAGAUGUGGGAGUCGAAACUAAAAAACUCAUGUGGGCUCUUUACGAUCCUUAGGUUAUCUGUAUUAUUUUUCUUGAUUUAUAGAAUAAACUUGACCCCUGCGAGAAUUUAAGUGUCUCUUCAUAGACUGUAGUGCCUUCUCUCUCUCAUAUAUUUUGGUUCUGGGACCUGGAAGCUAUGGCUUUUACAGUCCUUUCUGGCUUUUCUCUCAACAUUUGCCUUGUUCCACUGAAAACAGACAUCUUUCACUCAGCAUCAAAAUGUCAUGCUAAGAGAGUUUUUAGUAUCCAGCUUGUAAGCCAGGGUGAAUCUUGAAAUUGGCUCUCUACUGGAAUCUAAUCAGCAGGAUUCAGGGGUCUUUCCAGCCCCAAUCCAGCUGGAACCUUCUUUUAGGACAAGCAGUGUGAGUAUAUGCCAUAUGUCAGAGAGUGAGGGCAGUCAUAUGGAUGUGGAGGAAGAAAGAUGGGGAGGAAGGGGGAGAGAAAACGCCUUCCCAAGCCCAGCUGGUGGACCUGACCUAAGGAACAGGUCAUUCCCUCUGGCCUCAAAGCCUUUCCAUAUCGAGGAAAGAUGUAUUUCUCCUCAUCCUUGAGUUGAAUCAAUAAGGCCCUUUUUGGUGGGAGGUAAAACAGUGCCUCACGAAGUCAAAUCUGGAGUGCGUGGAGGGAGGCAUGGGCUCCGAGGGUGGACGGAGCCAGCACAUCUGCAUGCCCCCUGUCUCCCCCGAUACUUCUCGAACAGAUGGAAGGCUAUGAAAAAGAAUAAAUUCCCAACAGCAUGAGAAAGAAGAAAGACAGCCAUGCACUGUCACGGAAAUCAGCGCAUUCCUGAUACACGGGAAACAGAGAUGAUCAGAUUCACAGAGAAACAGAACCGGAGGAAACAGCUCACACCAUACGGGGGAGUGGACUGUGGCUAAGUAGAGGCAAUUUAAGGAAAACUCCAAUCCUACAGCCAAUAAAAUGAAUCGAACUGGCCCGUCUUAUGUGUUUACGGAUGAAGAAACUCCAGGGUCGGAUUCAUCACACUGUAUUUGCCUUCAGAGGAGUUACCCCGUCGGCUGACUCCUGAGAGCAUCCAGUGCAGUCACUGUGGGCUAGGGUUUUGCCUGCAUCGAAAUAAAAAGAUGGUCAACAGCCAGGACGGGAGAGAUUCAGAUGCAUUCAAUAACGUGCAGAAAAGGCCCUGGGAAGAUAUAUCACUCCACUGCCUUCUGGAAUCAACUGUUGUGGAUGAGGAGUCAGCUGAGAAUGUAAUCGUCAUUCCUUUGUGGGUAAUCUGUAUUUUCUUUCUGGUAACCUAAAGAUUUUUUUUUUCUUCGUCUGUCUGCAUUUCAGUAGGAUGUGCACAGAUGUGUAUUUAUUUUCGUUGACGCUGGAUUUGGUACAUCUCUCAGCAAAUCUGGAAAAUGCUCAGCCAUUAUCUUUCUAAAUAUCUCUGCUCUGCCACUUGCUUAAUUCUACGCUUUCAACAUCCCUAUUAGACAUAUUUUGGAGCCCAUCCAUUUAUCCUCCAUGUUUUGAAACUAUGGCUUAAUGAAAAAAAAAAUUUUUUUUAAUCUCUCUAUGAUGCAUUUUUUGUUGAAUUCUGAGCAGUAUCUUCCAAUUCACUAAUUCUUGCUAAAUACAUCCAUUCUGGAGUUUGUCUCAUUUACUGACUUAAAAUUUUUAGUGGCCAUAUUUUUCAUUUCCAACAUUUCUAGCAGACAUUUUUCAAAUAUACAUUUUACAACUGCGUGUGGGGCUCCUGGCUGGCUCAGUUGGUAGAGGGCGUGACUCUUGAUCUCGGGGUUGAGUUGGAGCCCCACGUUGGGUAUCGAGAUUACUUUUAAAAAGUAACCCCCCCCAGAACUUUUUGUUUUACUCUCAAUUAGAUGUUUGCUUUUUUCCCCAGCUUUUCUUGAGAUAUAAUUGACAUAUACCAUUGUGUAAGCUCCAGGCGUAACACGUGUUGAUACGGUACAUUUGUAUCUUGCAAUAUGAUUACGACUGUAGCUUUCCAUUACAUUACCAAAUUACCGUUUCUUUUUUUUUUUAAGUUCAUUUAUUUAUUUUGAGAGAGAGCGCACAGGGGAGGGGCCGAGGGAGAGAGAGGGAGACAGAGACGCACAAACAGGCUCGGGGCCGUCAGCGCAAAGCCCAACACGGGGCUCGGACCUGUGAACUGUGGAACCGUGACAUCAUGACCUGAGUAGAAGCUGGACGCUUAACCGACUGAGCCAUCCCAAGUUACCAUUUCUUUUUUGCGGUAAGAACAUUUAAUAUUGACUCCUUGAGCAACUUCCAAGUAUAUAAUAUAAUUCCAUUGGAAUUUGUACCCUCUGAUCAGCAUCUUCCCAAACUUGUAUCUUUUUGCUCCAGCAUUGCGCUGGACCUUCUCCUCUUGAAACCCGGACUUCGCCAGAGGUUCUCUCGUCUGCGGGGGAUUAUUUUUGAAAGUGCUUUCCUGGGGCUGCCAGACUGGCGGAGAGGGGCUGGAGCCAGUUCAGGGACCACUGCAGGGUCCACAGCCACGACCGAGGUCUGUCUGCCUGUUUACCUGAUGCGUGGGUGGGUAAGACUCUUUCCAGGUUCCUUGGCAUCCGGCGCUAUGUCCCACAGCUUUCCGAAGGUACUUUUGUCCAUGAUGGAUGAUGGAGUUUGGGUGGCGGUGGCUGGAGGACACAGAUGACGGAUGUCUUCUGGCAUCACGAUGCUGGCUUCACCCUCCAGAACUUACCUGUUUUAAUGUUAGCCUCAGAUCCUUCUAGUAUGUUUAUUGUUGUCUUUUUCGUGAAUGAUCACCCAUCAUGGGUUGUUCGUUGUUGGUCCCGUCGGAUUUCUUCCUUCACGGGAGGUCUCGCUGCGUGUUUCGUGAUUUUGUACCGUAGGCUCAUCUUGAGUGACCUUGUUUGCUUCCCUCCUGUUUUCCUCUGUCCUCGCUCCUCCCUACGUGCCAGGUUUGCAGCUGGCUCUUCAAGACCCCCCAGUCCAGAACCCAGAUUUCUCGCGUGGGGUCGAGGCUGUUGUUCAUCGUAUCGCACUGAGCCAGUGGGCUGCUCAUCCAAGUUUUCGGUAGAGGCUGUGUCUGGUCCCUCCCGCCUGCCUCCUUAUCCCAUUGUAGUAGAAUCUCAGCUUUCUCAACUUUCUUGCAGAAGUGGGAAGAGACUGUCUAGCUCCUAGGCUCACGCCAUCAUCUUGGCUCUCGUCCCCUUCCCUUCGUGGGGAAUGUUUAGUCUUCAUUUUCUCGUAGGAGCCAAACUCCUGGCCGCCUUUUCUCUGUUCCAGCAGCCUGUUCACCACCUUGGGCUUCUGAUCUCCAGAUACGUUGUCCACGGCAGCCUUUGCAUUGGUGUGGCACAAGACGGGAGGGAAGGACUUUGAUUUUGUGGUAAAAGGAAAGGUUAAUUUCCCCCUGUCCUUCUCACAAGAUAUAAAUAAGGAAGCCCGUGGCUCUGAUCAUUACAAGGAGCCAUCUUAUUGCCAUAUGGAACCAUCUUGUGUGUCAAUAAAGAAAGUCAAUAUUAGGGCAAUAUGUCAAGUAUAGGUACGUAUCUUUCUCAUUUUUAUUUUUUGUAUCUUAUAUACAUGUCUCUUUUGCUUAUAUGCUCGUUAUAUUUUAUCUUUUGUUGCCCUAUGUUUAGAAUAGCAGUAGGGUUUCAAGACAGGUAACUUCUAAUUUUUUUUUUAACAU